Molecule: RNA transcript, 6363 nt
Organism: Sapajus apella (tufted capuchin)
Lineage: Eukaryota; Metazoa; Chordata; Mammalia; Primates; Cebidae
Gene: SYT10
Gene name: synaptotagmin 10
Exons: 9
Source: RefSeq, a predicted model, not a curated record
CUCCCCUCCGCACUCCAUGCCGGGUCUAUAGUUCCUGCUGGCCUCGGCUCGCUCGCGCGGCGGUAGAGUUGGCGCAAACGUCGCCUCAGCCGCAGUCUCCUCGCCGCUCUUUCCCCAGCGCCCUCCGCUCCCGCCAUGGGGCCAACGCGGGGCUCCUAAGAGUUGCAGUCUCUCAGCGGCGCGCUCUGCAGCCAGUCACCGCGGGCGGACAAUGGCUUAGGGCGCCAGAGGGGUUAGUCUAGACGUACGGGAAGGGGAAAAGACGGCUAACUGGGGAAAAAAAGAGAAAACGAAAGAAAAGCCAAACGAUGAGUUUCCACAAGGAGGACGGAGUCAACAGUCUGUGCAAGAAGGCGCUGCACAUCGUCACCGAGCUGUGCUUCGCGGGCCGAGUGGAGCAGGAGAAGUGCUUGGGCAUCUUCCCCCGGGACCGGGGCAGCCAGGGCGGAGGCAGCACAGAUAUUUCGGUCAGCCUGUUAGCAGUCGUUGUCGGCUUUUGUGGACUGGCCUUGUUGGUUGUCUCGCUUUUUGUCUUCUGGAAGCUGUGUUGGCCGUGCUGGAAAAGCAAGCCUGUGACUUCCAACGUCAGCACCCUUCCACAGAGCAUUUCAAGUGCUCCUACUGAAGGUCUUGAGACUGAAGAGAAAAAAGAAAUUAAGGAAAAUGAAAAGCCAGCCGUGAAAGCAAUUGAGCCUGCAAUAAAAAUCAGCCACACUUCCCCUGACAUACCAGCAGAAGUCCAAACUGCUUUAAAAGAACAUUUAAUUAAACAUGCACGUGUGCAAAGACAAAUUACUGAACCUACAUCAUCAUCCCGCCACAAUUCCUUCCGAAGACACCUGCCGAGGCAAAUGCAGGUUUCCAGUGUUGAUUUUAGCAUGGGCACGGAACCUGUUUUACAAAGAGGAGAGACAACAACCAGCAUCGGGAGGAUAAAGCCAGAACUCUACAAACAGAAAUCAGUUGACUCUGAGGGCAACCAAAAAGAUGUCAAAACCUGUGGGAAACUUAACUUUACCCUCCAGUAUGAUUAUGAAAAUGAACUUCUAGUUGUUAAAAUUAUCAAAGCCUUAGAUCUCCCUGCUAAAGACUUCACGGGAACUUCUGACCCUUAUGUGAAGAUGUAUCUUCUUCCAGAUAGGAAAAAGAAAUUUCAGACCCGUGUGCACAGAAAGACUUUAAAUCCUCUAUUUGAUGAAACUUUUCAGUUUCCUGUAGCAUAUGAUCAACUAAGCAACCGAAAACUACAUUUCAGUGUGUAUGAUUUUGACAGAUUUUCUAGACAUGACAUGAUUGGGGAAGUGAUUCUUGAUAAUUUGUUUGAAGUCUCUGAUCUGUCCCGGGAAGCCACAGUAUGGAAAGAUAUUCAUUGUGCUACCACAGAAAGUAUAGACCUGGGUGAAAUCAUGUUUUCCCUUUGUUACUUGCCGACGGCUGGGCGUAUGACAUUGACAGUGAUUAAGUGCAGAAAUCUGAAGGCAAUGGAUAUUACUGGCUCAUCAGAUCCUUAUGUCAAAGUGUCUCUGAUGUGUGAAGGUCGAAGAUUAAAAAAGAGAAAAACAACUACAAAGAAAAACACUCUAAACCCUGUGUACAAUGAGGCCAUUAUUUUUGACAUCCCUCCAGAGAACGUGGACCAGGUCAGCCUCUCCAUUGCGGUCAUGGAUUAUGACAGGGUAGGACACAAUGAGGUCAUAGGAGUAUGUAGAACAGGACUGGACGCUGAGGGACUUGGGCGAGACCACUGGAAUGAAAUGCUGGCCUAUCAUCGAAAACCAAUAACACAUUGGCACCCCUUGCUGGAGUUACCUGGCCGGGCAACCAGUUUUGAUAGUCAAGGAUCCUGCCCCUCUCCCAAACCACCUUCCACACCAUAAUGCCUCCAAAGUAAGAUACCAUGAUAUUAAGAACCUAGGACCAUGUGCUCAUUGAAUCAAAAAAGAAAAAGUGGAAGGUUUGAUUUCCUCAUUUAAAAUAUAUUCAUAGUAAUGAACAAACUUGACAUGUAAUUUUUUAUUUACUUUUAUUGCCGAUUUUUUAACCUUGAACAUCUUAAUACAUUUUACUUGAAUACAUAUAGUCCUUAGUUGCUUAAGGCAUUUUGUCCUUCAUGUCAAAUGCCUGUUAGCACAAAGAGUGUUGAAUAUGUUGUAAUUCUUUGCAUAAGCAAAGAAAUGUUUAUUUAAACAGUGCAUACUUAUCUAAAAUUAAAUAUGGUUUAUGCUGCUAUUAUAUAAAGUAGCACAUGUCACAUAUGUAUGGAUUUGGUUUUGUUAUAGUGUGUUUUUCCAAUUGUGCACAUGGUUCAAUAUAAACUUCAAAGGACAUUUUGAACUUAACUUACACAACAUUAAAUCCUUGCACAAUCAAAUUAAUAUUACUUAUCUGAUAAUACUUUUCUUUCAGUCUCAUAAAAUUGCUUUCUUGGUGAGAUUUGGCUCUGCUAAACUCAAAACUUUGUCUCUCAAGCUUGUUCUUUAAAACACACAGACAAAACUAUAAAUUUAAAGAAUCGUUUUGAAUAUAAAUUUAAGAAGUAAUACUUACUGGCUGAAAAAUGGAGGUUGGGCCAUUAUGGCUACCAUUUUAUACUGUUUUACUGUUAUGUUAGCUCAAAUAUCUGUUGCACUGUUUAACUGAUAUUUUUUAAAUUCUAAUAAUCUUCAUCUCAAAUGUAGUACAAGUAUUUCUAAGUGUAAAGAAUCAGAAGUUAAUUUUUUAAGUGAUUGUAAGGUUCUCAAGUACUGUGACAUGUAUUUUUUGUGACAUGUAUUUUUUGUGACUUGAAGCUAUGAUAUAGAUCCUGUGUUUAUGAUAGACCAUGCUAACAGACACCAAAAGAACAACAUUCUCUGUGUUCAUCAUCGUUUAGAUUGUACACAGUAGUGGUGACUCUUCACACCCAGUCAGAAGCAAAUCAUUGAAAUUGGGUAUUUUCUGAAAGAAAGGAUAAUUUAUUUCCAGCAAAAUAUAGAAAUAUGCCAUAAAUAUUAAUAAUACAAUGUCAAUACUUAAUAAUAAACAAAUUAAUUCUAAAGGCUAGGACUCCAGUCCUUGCAUGAAAGGCAUUUGCCUUCAUAAGCGUCAAGGCUCAGGCCACUAGAUGUAAAAACUAUGCAAACGUUUUUACAAGACAGACCUUUCUUUUAAAUGAGGCCAACAUAUUUGGUCUCAUUUUCAGGCCCUAUUGGAAGGUAUCUAUACGGAAUUACCCCAACCUUACUUUUGAGAUGUGUGGUAUAGAUAGUGCCUAUUUCAAGAUUAUUUCAAAAUUGGUGUGUUUUAAAAAAAAAAAAGGCAAGAGAACAUACUUACUUGGAUGAGAAAAAUAUUUCAGCAGUUAUGAAAUUUUUAAUUUUGUAAAAUCCCAUUAUCUCUAAAUAUUAAAAAAAAUUAAAGCCUUGAUAUUUUGUUGCCAUCUCUUAUAAUGAUGUCAUUACUAUUAAUUAAGAGGUAAAUAUUUUGCACAUUAACAUUUUAAAGGCAAAAACAGUUCUGCCUUAGAUUUUUCAAAAAUGCUUAUACUACCCUAAGGAAAACAGGUACUCGUAGCUAACAUUUUCUCAUUGAAAAUAAUAAAAGAAAGCUGUUUGAAAACACUUGGCUACCUUGUCAAGCCAAAAAGAAUUAUUUGCUAUAGGUAAAAUGAAAGAUGACACUUGCAUUCUGAAACUCUUUGUUUUAUUGGGAAAUAAAACUUUUCAAAUGGGAAGACAAAAGGUUAUACUAUUAAUAGAAUGACAUUUUUGGAGACAAUUGUUUUAUUAGUAGAUAUAACUGCAGCUUAAAGUAAAUUAGCAAUUACGUUUCCUAAGUGAGUAUAAUAAUUAUUUUCACCCAAAAACAUAUUUCAAGGACUUUUUAUUGAUUCUUAGAAACUCAUGCUUGUCUUUACUUUCUAAGGAGAAAAAGCCAGUGCUUCUGAUGUAAAAAUGUGAACCAUUGACGAAUCAGAAGAUUCUAAUAUGGAAAUUGUAGAUUACAAUGUUUUUUAAAUAAUUUUUAAAUGUUUGCUUGGAGUUAGAAUAAACUCGUCAUACAAGGAUAUGUGUUAAUCCUGAGAAAGAGAUCAAGCAGAGGAAAUUCACCACAGCAGCUCAUCUUUCAUGUAAUUCAGGAGGAAGGUUUAUACACAGAUUGAUAAGGCUUCUACGGUUGGAAGGAAAGAAAGGAAAGACAAUACUUUCACUUUGGCACUUCUACGGCAAAAUUACAACCCCCUCAUAUGUGAUAUAGAAGUUUCAAGGAAAACAUGAAAUUCAAAUCUGAAAGCCAAUUUCAGCAAACCACUCCAAAGAUCAUCUUUAUGUGAAUUAUAUCACACCCAUCAGUAUGCUGCCAUCAGAGACAAAUGUAGCCUCCCCUUCAGAGCCUCUUCUUACAGGUCAGGUAUUCAUUCUGAUUAUUCACCAUCUGUGCUGCUUUCCUUGAUAAAUAGUUUGAAUAUUACCAUUUCAGGAUUUACACAUUCUCUUGCACUCAUGGGCGUACAGGCACACAUCUGCACACAGUUAUUCAUGCACACACACACAAAGGUCACCAUUGAUUUAUUUUCCUCUUCCUUGCUUUAUUCUCUUCCUAUGCUUUUUUUAUAUGCAUUUAUUUGUUUUUUGUUUUGUACACUGUUACAUCCCUUUCUACUAGGACAGGACCUGGCAGCUAGGUGCUACUUAAAUAGUUGAUAAAUAACUCAGUAAACGAAGAUGUUUUAUGUUUCAAUGUCAGUGAGGGUAUGUAUCUCUCUGUGCUCCCCUUGUAUCAUAUGAAAAAACAAGGUAAGAAUCUUUGACUUCUAAGUUGAUUUUAGAAAUUGUGCAAUGUCCUAAGAAAAAUUAUGGCAUUUAUUUUUUGAAAAUAUCUUUAUUUAAUAUGACCCCAGAUUUUUUUACAAAAAAAACUAAGGUUUGGAGAGUCCAAGCAACUUGCCUAUAGCUGGUGUUACUUGUGUUGCACACUCACAAAUAUAUUGUCACCCAAAUCUCUGGGAGAAGAAUUAUCUUCAUUUUAUUUGCUUGUUUGUUUGUUUCAUUUUACUUUCCAUAACUGACUUUAUCUUUCUCAUGAGCACUAACGCUUUGGAAGGCAGGUGGGAAAGUGGAAGGUGAUAGGGCAUAGAUUCAGUUUUUAAAGUUUUAUAGGGAACUCAAUCUCGUUUGGUUAAAUGCUAGUUUUCAGACUUUUUCUUUAAUAUUCUUCUUCUCCUGAUCCCCAGAAUGGCAUCUGGAUGUAUAUAAGAGCUUAAGAAAUCUGUUGUUGAUGGAAGAAGGAAUGGAAGAAGAGAUGUCAGAGAAAUGCUUUCUUUCUAAUAUUUUCCACGUUCUGGGAUAGGUUAGGUUCACUACUGAUGUUUACUUACAUGGGACUGCUCAUCCCAGCAUUCAGAGAAUUUCCAUGUACCUGACACUAAAGUCUGCGGCCCUGGCCCUUUAUCUCUAAUCACGAAGCUCCUGUAUAAUAUGCUGGUUUUUUUCCCUACCUUGAUUCCUCCUGGGUACAUUGAUCUUGGCAUUUCACUGGCCACUGAUCAGAGCCUGAAGGAACUUGUGGACCCGCCUCCCAGUAACCUGCAAGCACCAGUAUUAUGACAUCUUUAGCCAGCCACCUCUAAUCACCAAUGAUGGAAAUGCCAGGAUUUUCUUAGAAGCCUAUAAGUUUUCCAGAUUCUGCAUCAGGAAGAAAGCUACUAGCACCAAAUCUAUUGGGUCUCUUAAAUUCAUGUGGCUGUUUGUACAGCACCACUCCACAAAGAGCCACCAAGUGUGUGUAUUGGGUGGAAGGGGAAGAGUCAGUAGUGUGUGAGGGUUGGGAGGACAUUGGAGUCCAACAGCUCUCUGACUUCUGCCUCUUUCUUUUCUUCCUACUUUCAUUGGGUUGGAUCAGUCUGGCUUUACAGUUUCUGCAAUGUUUGACAAGAAUUCUUCUUACAAUGUAUCUAAUUCACUAUAAUUCCUGGUUUCAUUGGAUACAGAAUUAUUAACAUUUGUUAAUUACAUUUAGUGUGCCAUUUUGCUCUCAAAAGUGUUCUAGUUCAGAUGUUAAAUGACACGGUCAUUUCAUUUUACUUAAAAAAAAAAAUCUGUUUCCAUAUCUCUAAAUUUGCUUUGACAUGUAAAAAAGGCUUAAGGAAAUUUAGAAAUCUAGAAAUCAUUUUCCCCAUGGACAAAACCUGACUUUCAAGAAAAUUAAUCAAUCCUGAGGCUGGACAAAGGAGAGAUCAAUGUGAGCUAGAGUGUAUUAUCUGGGAGUAAUAAUAUCUUAAUGUGCUAAGGCAUUUUAUUUUAAUAGUAGAGAUUUCUUUGAAAUAAAUGUCUUUAGGAUUUCUGGAAUAAAAUUUCUGGGACAGUGAGGUGGGAAAAAAAAAAA